This is a small nucleolar RNA of Alnus glutinosa, 142 nucleotides long. RefSeq annotates it as small nucleolar RNA Z247. Lineage: Eukaryota; Viridiplantae; Streptophyta; Magnoliopsida; Fagales; Betulaceae. The record is from RefSeq and is a predicted model, not a curated record. The transcript has a single exon.
CUAGUUGAUGAUGAGGAGUUCAUCACUUACAUCGUGAGUGGUCUUCAUCCCUCUUACAAUUCAUUUGUUAUGUCCUCUUUUGCUUCAAAGGACAAGCCUAUCACCUUUGUUGAGUUUCAUGCAAAGUUAUUGUCCUUUGAGC